RNAcentral lists this transfer RNA (66 nucleotides) under Epeorus sp. XL-2019. Its description in RNAcentral is "tRNA-Tyr". It matches the Rfam family "tRNA". From Rfam's summary of the family: Transfer RNA (tRNA) molecules are approximately 80 nucleotides in length. Their secondary structure includes four short double-helical elements and three loops (D, anti-codon, and T loops). Further hydrogen bonds mediate the characteristic L-shaped molecular structure. tRNAs have two regions of fundamental functional importance: the anti-codon, which is responsible for specific mRNA codon recognition, and the 3' end, to which the tRNAs corresponding amino acid is attached (by aminoacyl-tRNA synthetases). tRNAs cope with the degeneracy of the genetic code in two manners: having more than one tRNA (with a specific anti-codon) for a particular amino acid; and 'wobble' base-pairing, i.e. permitting non-standard base-pairing at the 3rd anti-codon position. Lineage: Eukaryota; Metazoa; Arthropoda; Insecta; Ephemeroptera; Heptageniidae. The record is from RNAcentral.
GGUGAGAUGGCUGAAUUAGGUGAUAGACUGUAAAUCUAUUUAAGAGGGUUAACCCCUCUCUUACCA